UACGUAGGGUGCAAGCGUUAAUCGGAAUUACUGGGCGUAAAGCGUGCGCAGGCGGUUUUGUAAGUCUGUCGUGAAAGCCCCGGGCUCAACCUGGGAAUUGCGAUGGAGACUGCAAGGCUAGAGUGUGUCAGAGGGGGGUAGAAUUCCACGUGUAGCAGUGAAAUGCGUAGAUAUCCGGAGGAACACCAGUGGCGAAGGCGACUUCCUGGCCUGUUCUUGACGCUGAGGCGCGAAAGCUGGGGGGGCAAACGGG
This 253-nucleotide ribosomal RNA is filed under the name uncultured bacterium. RNAcentral's name for it is "partial 16S ribosomal RNA". It matches the Rfam family "Bacterial small subunit ribosomal RNA", at positions 524 to 776 of the family's 1533-position model. The record is from RNAcentral.